AUACAUGCAAGUCGAGCGAAUCGAUGGGAGCUUGCUCCCUGAGAUUAGCGGCGGACGGGUGAGUAACACGUGGGCAACCUGCCUAUAAGACUGGGAUAACUUCGGGAAACCGGAGCUAAUACCGGAUACGUUCUUUUCUCGCAUGAGAGAAGAUGGAAAGACGGUUUACGCUGUCACUUAUAGAUGGGCCCGCGGCGCAUUAGCUAGUUGGUGAGGUAAUGGCUCACCAAGGCGACGAUGCGUAGCCGACCUGAGAGGGUGAUCGGCCACACUGGGACUGAGACACGGCCCAGACUCCUACGGGAGGCAGCAGUAGGGAAUCUUCCGCAAUGGACGAAAGUCUGACGGAGCAACGCCGCGUGAACGAAGAAGGCCUUCGGGUCGUAAAGUUCUGUUGUUAGGGAAGAACAAGUACCAGAGUAACUGCUGGUACCUUGACGGUACCUAACCAGAAAGCCACGGCUAACUACGUGCCAGCAGCCGCGGUAAUACGUAGGUGGCAAGCGUUGUCCGGAAUUAUUGGGCGUAAAGCGCGCGCAGGUGGUUCCUUAAGUCUGAUGUGAAAGCCCACGGCUCAACCGUGGAGGGUCAUUGGAAAACUGGGGAACUUGAGUGCAGAAGAGGAAAGUGGAAAUUCCAAGUGUAGCGGUGAAAAUGCGUAGAGAUUUUGGAGGAAACACCAGUGGCGAAGGCGACUUUUCUGGUCUGUAACUUGAACACUUGAAGGCGCGAAA
This 734-nucleotide ribosomal RNA is filed under the name Peribacillus simplex. RNAcentral describes it as "bacterial SSU rRNA". It matches the Rfam family "Bacterial small subunit ribosomal RNA", at positions 51 to 758 of the family's 1533-position model. Lineage: Bacteria; Bacillati; Bacillota; Bacilli; Caryophanales; Bacillaceae. The record is from RNAcentral.